RNAcentral lists this long non-coding RNA (1117 nucleotides) under Homo sapiens (human). RNAcentral describes it as "small nucleolar RNA host gene 17". Lineage: Eukaryota; Metazoa; Chordata; Mammalia; Primates; Hominidae. The record is from RNAcentral.
GAGCGUAGCUUCCUUGUCGUGUGGCCUCAGUCCUUCGCCGUCCCUCGCCGUCCUUCGCCAUCGCACGCCACCGCACCCCAUCUCUCGAAAUCUGCAGACAUCUUGAUUUUUCCCACGCUGUCUGUCAGGUCUCCGCCGCCACUCGACGCCAGGGCGCCGGGUGAGUCCACAGCAGGGCGCAUGGUCGGCUCCACUCUCACCAUCGGGGGAAACUGAGGCCCCGGGGAAGGCGGCCAGAGAGGUCAGGCCCUGUCCUUGGUGCAGUGUCUCGUCCUCUUUGCCGGAGUGAGCCCCCCAGGAUUCGCGUGUCCUCGGGAAAGACACUGGCAGGCCUUGUGGGCUGUGCUGCACCUCGGACGGCUUCGCACCAGCCAGCGCCCUCUCUCUCCUGCAGCACUCUGAUCUGCACCCCCUGAGGGGCUUCCACUGUCCGCGGGGUGAGAAUGCCCCUGGGAGUGUCACAUGACUGCCGCCCCAUGUGUGUGAGAGGCGUCCUCUGGGAGAGCAUGGAUCCUGAGGUCCCAGGAUUGUCAGCUGACCUCUGUCCUGUGUGCCCAGUGGCCCCAGGUGACGUGUCUUCAAGAAGAGGCUGAGCUGCGGUGCUUGUAAGGUCUCAGCCUUAGAUCCAAGGACAGUCCAAGGAAGUCCUAAGACCAUGGAGUUGGUGAUCUGGGAUCUGGGUUUGCUGAUAUUUCUCACCGUGGUGAGUUGAUGCCAAGAGCCAGAACCCACAGCCAGAGGCUCAGCUGGUCCGUGUUUAUGCAGAUGGGAACCUCAAAUCACUGGUCUCACUUGUCCUUUGUUUCAGAAUCUCUUGGUGGUGUUUGUGGGCACGAGAGGGGCAGAGAAUGGAGAGUGAGGCUACCACAUGAAGCGUCACCAGAGCUGCUCCCUGCUGCCUGCUCAGAGCACCCCGGAUCCACUGUUCAAUCUGCACAAGAUUCGGGGUCCAGACAUGGGAGACUUCAGCUGCCUCAGAGGACCGUGGACAGGGAAGGCCAGCCUCGCAUCCCUCUGUCCAUGCCUGGAAUGACUUUAAUAACCAAGAGUUUUAUUUUUGAAUUUGUAGCUGUCGUUCACUUUUUACCCACCCAUUCAAUAAACCUUACAGAAUUGC